CCCACUCAUGUUCCCACUCGCUGGUCAAAUAUCUGAUUAUAAUUUACGAAACAGUAAUAAUUAUAUGUUGUAUCCAAAUAUAGAAUAGACAUUACCAAAAUAUUCCGCUUUCCUUUCUUCUAUUGUAAAAUGGAAUUUCCUAAACUCCGACAUACUGACUUCUGAAAAUAUUAAUAUAGUCGUAAGAAAGAUAACAAUCAAAUUAAUACAACCACCUUUUUUAUUAGUUGAUUUGCUAUAGAAAAUUAAAGAUUCUUCACACAAUAUUGCAAAAUAAAUGCAGGUCUACAACGGGUUGAUUCCAAACCUCAUUCAGAAUGCAAAUGUGGCCAUUCAGUAUUCAGUUAUCAUUACAGUUUAGUUCAGGUCAAAGGUAUCAUCAGCAGUAUUUCAGAUGAGUACAAAAAUUAGAGUUGAUCGAGUAUUUUUGUGUGGAUAAUUACUUUGAAUUGUUGAUAAUAUGGAAAAUCAACAUUGUUAUCCCUUUGGAAGUUCAUUCCUUAUUGGAGUUUAAUGACAUUUAUGUCACAGGUUUAAAACAUUUGCAUCAGCAAUACCACAAACAAAUGGAAAAUUAGUGUGGACUGAUUAUUUUUAUGGAAAUUAUGCCCUUUGAAAAAAAGCGAUUACAAAAAUUGCAGGGUAAGGGUAGGGGGUCAGGGGAUAUCCUGUAGCAAUCCUGAAAUAUAAUUGAAAUGUUUUUUUAAGGCUACAGGAAUUUUGCUGGCAUGGAGUAGAUUCAGACAACAAAACCAGUAUGAUACAAAACAGUAACAGAUUCUCAAGACUGAAAAUUAUUCCAGAUCAGUUUUAUUAUAAUGUUGAUGAAGUGAGAACAGCAGAUGAUGCUGCUAUCAGAGUCAAGUUAAUGGUGUUUUAUGAACUCAAAGAUAUAGAUAAAAUGCUGUGUCUGUGCAGAUAUUAUAGCUUAUGCUUCUA
Long non-coding RNA from Mytilus californianus (California mussel), 939 nucleotides. RefSeq lists it as uncharacterized. The transcript is spliced from 3 exons. NCBI's taxonomy places the organism in Eukaryota, Metazoa, Mollusca, Bivalvia, Mytilida, Mytilidae. The record is from RefSeq and is a predicted model, not a curated record.